Molecule: ribosomal RNA, 800 nt
Filed under: uncultured bacterium
Lineage: Bacteria
Description: bacterial SSU rRNA
Rfam family: Bacterial small subunit ribosomal RNA
Source: RNAcentral
AGAGUUUGAUCCUGGCUCAGAAUCAACGUUGGCGGCGCGCUUAACACAUGCAAGUCGAACGAGAAAGUGGAGCAAUCCAUGAGUAAAGUGGCAGACGGGUGAGUAACACGUGGGUAUCCACUCUUUGGUGGGGAAUAACUCUGGGAAACCGGAGCUAAUACCGCAUAAGUCCGAGAGGAGAAAGACGAAAGUCGUCGAAGAAGGAGCCCGCGGCUGAUUAGCUAGUUGGUGAGGUAAUGGCUCACCAAGGCGUAGAUCGGUAGCCGGCCUGAGAGGGCACACGGCCACACUGGCACUGAGACACGGGCCAGACUCCUACGGGAGGCAGCAGUGGGGAAUCUUGCACAAUGGGGGAAACCCUGAUGCAGCGACGCCGCGUGAGCGAUGAAGCCCUUCGGGGUGUAAAGCUCUUUCGGCAGGAACGAUUAUGACGGUACCUGAAGAAGAAGCUGCGGCUAACUACGUGCCAGCAGCCGCGGUAAUACGUAGGCAGCAAACGUUGUUCGGAGUUACUGGGCGUAAAGAGUACGUAGGCGGUUUGCCAAGUUUGGUGUGAAAUCUCCUGGCUUAACUGGGAGGGUGCGCCGAAUACUGGCGAGCUUGAGUGUUGGAGAGGGGAGCGGAAUUCCUGGUGUAGCGGUGAAAUGCGUAGAUAUCAGGAGGAACACCGGUGGUGUAGACGGCUCCCUGGACAACCACUGACGCUGAGGUACGAAAGCGUGGUAGCAAACAGGAUUAGAUACCCUGGUAGUCCACGCCCUAAACGAUGCAAACUUGGUGUAGGCAGUUCAGUCUGUCUG